This 253-nucleotide ribosomal RNA is filed under the name uncultured bacterium. RNAcentral describes it as "partial 16S ribosomal RNA". It matches the Rfam family "Bacterial small subunit ribosomal RNA", at positions 524 to 776 of the family's 1533-position model. The record is from RNAcentral.
GACGUAGGGCGCGAGCGUUGUCCGGAUUUAUUGGGCGUAAAGAGCUCGUAGGCGGCUUGUCGCGUCGUCCGUGAAAACCUGCAGCUCAACUGCAGGCUUGCGGUCGAUACGGGCAGGCUGGAGUUCGGUAGGGGAGACUGGAAUUCCUGGUGUAGCGGUGAAAUGCGUAGAUAUCUGGAGGAACACCGGUGGCGAAGGCGGCAUCCUGGACCGACACUGACGCUGAGGAGCGAAAGCCAGGGGAGCAAACGGG